Molecule: ribosomal RNA, 900 nt
Filed under: Petrakia fagi
Lineage: Eukaryota; Fungi; Ascomycota; Dothideomycetes; Pleosporales; Melanommataceae
Description: LSU rRNA
Rfam family: Eukaryotic large subunit ribosomal RNA
Source: RNAcentral
GCAUAUCAAUAAGCGGAGGAAAAGAAACCAACAGGGAUUGCCUCAGUAACGGCGAGUGAAGCGGCAAUAGCUCAAAUUUGAAAUCUGGCUCUUUCAGGGUCCGAGUUGUAAUUUGCAGAGGGCGCUUUGGAGUCGACAGCAGCCUAAGUUCCUUGGAACAGGUCAUCAUAGAGGGUGAGAAUCCCGUAUGUGGCUGCUUGCCUUCGCCGUGUAAAGCCCCUUCGAUGAGUCGAGUUGUUUGGGAAUGCAGCUCUAAAUGGGAGGUAAAUUUCUUCUAAAGCUAAAUAUUGGCCAGAGACCGAUAGCGCACAAGUAGAGUGAUCGAAAGAUGAAAAGCACUUUGGAAAGAGAGUCAAAAAGCACGUGAAAUUGUUGAAAGGGAAGCGCUUGCAGCCAGACGUGCCCGUAGUUGCUCAUCUGGGGUUCUCCCCAGUGCACUCUUCUAUGGGCAGGCCAGCAUCAGUCCGGGCGGUUGGAGAAAGACCUGUGUCACGUAGCUCUCUUCGGGGAGUGUUAUAGGGCAGGUGGAAUGCAACCAGCCUGGACUGAGGUCCGCGCAUCUGCUAGGAUGCUGGCGUAAUGGCUGUAAGCGGCCCGUCUUGAAACACGGACCAAGGAGUCUAACAUCUAUGCGAGUGUUUGGGUGUCAAGCCCGAGCGCGUAAUGAAAGUGAACGGAGGUGGGAACCCCUCGGGGUGCACCAUCGACCGAUCCUGAUGUCUUCGGAUGGAUUUGAGUAAGAGCAUAGCUGUUGGGACCCGAAAGAUGGUGAACUAUGCCUGAAUAGGGUGAAGCCAGAGGAAACUCUGGUGGAGGCUCGCAGCGGUUCUGACGUGCAAAUCGAUCGUCAAAUUUGGGCAUAGGGGCGAAAGACUAAUCGAACUAUCUAGUAGCUGGUUC